GACGAACGCUGGCGGCGUGCUUAACACAUGCAAGUCGAACGGAAAGGCCCUGCUUUUGUGGGGUGCUUGAGUGGCGAACGGGUGAGUAACACGUGAGUAACCUGCCCUUGACUUUGGGAUAACUUCAGGAAACUGGGGCUAAUACCGGAUAGGAGCUCCUGCUGCAUGGUGGGGGUUGGAAAGUUUCGGCGGUUGGGGAUGGACUCGCGGCUUAUCAGCUUGUUGGUGGGGGAGUGGCUUACCAAGGCUUUGGCGGGUAGCUGGCCUGAGAGGGUGACCGGCCACCCCGGGUCUGAGACACGGUCCAGGCUGCUGCGGGAGGGAGCAGUGGGGAAUAUUAGGCAGUGGUCUGGAGGUGCACACAGCCAUACCGCGUGGGGGAAGAAGCCCUCUCGGUUGUAAAGAACUGUAGGUGGUAAAGAAGAGCAGUGGGGUUAUCCAUCGCGGUACUGAAGCUACCCAAUGAAGAAGGAGCGGGUGACUUCGUG
RNAcentral lists this ribosomal RNA (488 nucleotides) under uncultured bacterium. RNAcentral describes it as "partial 16S ribosomal RNA". It matches the Rfam family "Bacterial small subunit ribosomal RNA", at positions 28 to 507 of the family's 1533-position model. The record is from RNAcentral.